GAUUCUGUCUAAGUAGCACCACGUGGUUUUUAGUCUGUUUGCUCCUACCAGCUCUUGUGCUGCUGACAGAAGCCACUGCGAAGUUUCGGUCUGCCGUUGGCCCUGUUUGUGUAUCUGGAAGCCUCCGCAGUCUGUCUUUAGGAGAGGUACAGUUGUGUGCUUUCGUUCUUUGGAGCCCCUUAACCCAGUCUAGCACCCUAUAUUAGACUGAUAGCGAGUGUCCUUGAAGUGUGCUCAUGAAGCUACGUACGUGUUGGUAAUCCAAAUGGAACAUGAGGAGUUCCUGAGUAUAGGGAUGAGUCUCAGUUAGACUCCUCAUGUUUUUUACCAUAAGGGUAACCACCCGUUCUAUAGCAGGCUGGUAGCACAGAAGAAACACCUUGAUAGGCUGACCCUGUCUCUACUAGAAUUAAAUUACUUAGCAGUGGUGAAUAAAAUUUGUCCACCAUGUGUUCGUGGGUCCAGUCCCCAACAACUGCAAGUUCUUCAGGAAUUGCUCUCAAAAGCCAUGAGUUUAAUGUGAAUAAAGGAGAGUGUAAAGUCUUUUUGUCAGGUUUCCUGUUCAUUUCUAUUCAACAAGACUAAUGAGCCUCGAAGUUUCAUAAAGGCAAUAUAAUCUUCUUGUGGAGAAACUAAGAUUCCUUGGGAUUAAUAACUCAAUGGUUACAGAAAUGUAAAUUCAUCCUAGUAUUAUUCUCAACUUUUUGUAUCAGUCUAAAGGACUGAUACUCAGCUUCAGGCAUAUGAUUUCUUAAGGUUUUACAGAUAAACUUCUUUAAUUAUGGUAUCUGUAUGAUAAUAUUUUCUUACAAAGUAGUGGUAGAACAUAAUCUUGUGAAACUUUUGUCAAAUAAGAUUCUCUACAGUGCACAAUGACCAAAUGUAAAACUAACAUUUUUCCCCACUGACAUACUCAGGCAGAUUGGCGUGUCAGACUGACACAAGAAAACUCAUAUUUUACUUGUUUUGUAGGUUCUUGUGUCCCAGCAGAGUGUUGUUCUUUUUGAAUAGCAGAGCAGAUAUUUGCCAGAAUAGGUAUGGAUGAUGGUAGAGAAACAAAUGCAUCAAUAUUCGCGAAGGAAAUGAAAGAGGUAUUAAACAUGGCUAAGCCAGGGUCCAAGGCCCGUUUUUACUGUUAGGCUAAUAAGAAUUGUACUAGUAUAUUUCCCCUGAAAGAAUGUACUUUGAAAAGUAGUCAGAAAUUCAGCUUUCAUCUGUUACCUUUAUGAUAAACCAUGGAAACCUAGGACAUAUCUUAAAUAACAAGAUAUACCAAUACAAGUACAAAUCAGUGCUCUGUUGGAGAGUGGGUUCAACAUUUUGUUAUUUCUUGGACUUCAAAUGAGCCUAAGCUUCCCCAGUUCCCUUUCCCAAACUGAUACAGUUUUAAGGGAAAGUGGAGGAAUGCUGUAAGAGGAGUCUUUGACUAGAAUUGGCAGCUGUUGGAAAGCUGUGAAAAGGUAAAAUUUAUGGCUGUGACACAAUUUUUAAGAAUUUCUGUAUUAAGUUUCAUCCACAUAAGGCAGAGUAUUCCUCGAGCAUCCCUCUGAGCAGCCCUGUUCCUAAUGGGGUUCUUAAAAAAUGCAUUUGUAGGGAUGGAAACACAGGAAAUACUUUCCUAAAUAACAUACAUCGUACAAAACGCUAAUGACAAAUCACUCGUCAUAAUUGACGAACUUGGCAGAGGUACCAGCGCUGAAGAAGGAAUUGGCGUUUGUUACGCUGCUCGCGAGUAUCUGCUGAAUUUAAAAACAUUUACAUUAUUUGCUACGCAUUUCCUGGAACUGUGUCAUAUAGCUGCCUUAUAUCCCAGUGUGGAAAACUACCAAUUUGCAGUGCAACAUGUGAGAAGCAAUGCUGGAAAUAAGGAGAAAAUUGCUUACACUCAUGCACUCUCUAAAGGCUAUACAGAGGAAAAGAACUAUGGUAAUGGAUUCCACUCUGAUGUUAACUUAGUAAACGUUAUAUAGGACAUUAUUUCAGUUAGUAGGCAUCUAACAAGAUUUUUCUGCUGACAUUUCUCCCGAGUUAGUAUCUCUCUCAGAGUUAAAACUGCAGGUCUGUAAUUCGUUCCUAAUGCUUGUGUUUUAACUGUGUAGUGAGAUAGUAGUUUGGGGUAGUAAGAAGAACUUGGAUGAAAUUUUCCCUGCCCGUGGGAGGGGGUUGGAACUAGAUCAUCUUUAACGUCCUUUCCAACCCAAACCAGUCUGUGGUUCUAUGAAAAAACCCCCCAUUUUAAUAAUGUGAGUAGCUGCUUGAUUCACCUCUGAAUGAGAUGAGCCAAACUCAGCACACAGUACUCGAGUCGAUGAUGGAAGUGAAAGUUCUGGAGAGACUUACAGCUGUGAAUGCUGAGCUUUAUGUAAAACUCUCUUACGUGUCUGCCAUAAGUAAUGAUAUAUAUAAAUAGCAGCUUGGCCCUUUUCGAUUAGCAAAAAGGCAUCGAGUUUCUUUGAAAAAUGGCAGGAAUUUUACAGUGUAUCAGCCUAAGGCUGUUUUGAGACGUUUCACCGAAGCGUUGGUGUUCUCAGGAAGGUGCGUUUACUUCUCUUUUAACUUCAGAAUAAAUCAUGAAGACUCUACAGAUUGACCAAUUAUGGGUCAAUAAAGAAAUGAGUGAGUGACAGUUAAGGCAUAGCUACAUUUUUAAGUUACAGAGAUGCGUACCUUUCCCAAUACUAGAUUCCGAAGUUUGAUUUGGGUGACAUUUAAUCAAUAGGAAAUGAGCUACACAUGACUUUUGCAAACUAGCAGCGACUGAAGACUAGGAAUUAUUCCUGUCAGGCUUCAAUUAACUGGCCUUAAAAUGUUUAGAAAUGAAGUAACAGGAAAUCAAUAGAAAGUUGAAUAUCCUUCCUCCUUGGGGUUUUGGGUUCUUUUUAGUACAACUUCACUGAGCGGCUGCAACCACGUAUUCCAGUGUGAACGAACGUGUCUGUCUUCCUUCCACCCAACUUUGGCCAGGAGUUCUUACGUUUCAUUUAGGUGCAUGUGCAUAUACAUAAUUUGUUAUGCAUUUAUCUAUUAAACGGGUAAUAUAGAACAGUGCAGUAUGUAAUUUGUAACAACAAAUAUAUAUAUUUAUGAUAUACAUUGCCGUUUAAUGUAUCUAUCUUUGUAAACAUAGCAGUGCAACAGAAUAACAUCGGUAGUCGGCGCACUGUGUUUUUUUCUGAAGAGGAUUUUCGAUUGAUUUAAGCUAUUAACCGCAGUUCACCUCUCUUCAGGCCUUUGUUGGCAAGUCUCUCACUCAUUACCUCCGUCCAUAAAUACCAUAUUUAUUGUCUAGCCCAGUGAGGACCAUGGCAGAAAGAAGUAUUUUGUGUUCAGGUUUCUUGGCACAACGAACCAGAUCGGAAGUGAUACGUAUUUCAGACAUUGGCUGGGCAGGGUGCACAUCUCCCUGUUGGGGUCAGCCAGCGCAGCACCAGGAAGAACAGUUCUGGGGUGCGUGCCUGGAAGCCUGGCAUAGUUUGACCCCAUCAGAACUGUUCCCCUCUUCUCCGCACCUUAUUUCAGAGCCUUCGGCUUGCUUCCAGCCCAUCGGGACUCUGCGUUUACAUACUCUGCGCACUGCUCUCUCAAAACAGAUUUUAAGUAAGGA
This is a long non-coding RNA of Strigops habroptila (Kakapo), 3604 nucleotides long. RefSeq lists it as uncharacterized. The record is from RefSeq and is a predicted model, not a curated record. The transcript has 2 exons. NCBI's taxonomy places the organism in Eukaryota, Metazoa, Chordata, Aves, Psittaciformes, Psittacidae.